AGGAUGGAGAGCAGGGAGGAGGGAAGGGGGAGGAGGGAGAGAGGGAGGAAAGAGAAGGGAGUAGGAGGGUGGAGGAGGGAGAAAAGGGGGAGGAGGGAGAGAGAGGGGAAAAAAAGGAGGAAAGAGAAGGGAGUAGGAGGGUGGAGGAGGGAGAAAAGGGGAGCAGGGAAAGAAGGGAGAAGAAGGAGGUAAAGGAGGAGGAGGGAUGGGGGAGGGAGAGGAGAAGAAAGAGGAAGGAGACGGAAGAGGAGGACGGAGGAGCGGGUGUCAAGGCCAGACUUUGGGAACCAAGGUGUGAGCCCUAUUAGCUUCAGCCCAUCCUGACACACCGUACAGAGAAUGCAGAGUCCAGAGAGGGCACCCAAGUCUGCAAGGUUGCACAGGCCCAGUGCAGCCAAAGGGCCUCACCUGUGCGGCUGCUCCUGCCUGUGGAAGCAGGAGCUCCCUGAGUCCCCACAGCGACCUUCAGACAAGUGUCAUCUGGCACAUUUCUCAGAAGAGGAGACUGAGCGCCCAGAGGUGGAAAGAGAUACCGGAGGCAGAAUCGUGCUGCAAGGGACAGGAAGAGUCACCGGUCUCCGAGCUGUGAGUAUGAGCAGCCACAAGGCUGAAGCUGCCAUUUCUGAGGCCGGAAGGCUGCAGGCAGGGCUGGGGGGGAGGUUGGAAUGAAGACCUGUCUUGUUUGAGGCUAACGAGCUGGGAGCCUCACCCAAGGCACACAGGCUCCAGGCGGGAAGUUGGCGACAAGUCGCGGACUGUGGUUUUCACCCGCCUCACGGGGCCCCUCAUCCUCUCCCCCAACUUCCCCUCAUGCCCCAGUGGAGCCAGCUUUGUUUGUUUCCCUCCCAUCAUCCGUUUCAUGAUGGGGAAGGCUGGUUUUCCCCUAACCCAGCAGACACCUCUUCCUCCGCCGGUCCCUGACCCUCCCACCCCGGGAAGCCCCAAGCGAACCUCCCAGAAUGUCCCGGCAGGAUGGGGCUGCUGCUACCGUUCAUCCAGCCAGAUGAACCCCAAAAGGGGAAGUGGGUCACCCGCGGUCACCCGGCCCGUGGUCAGCUCAGCACUUCAGGAUCUCCUCUCCUCACCGCCCACCACAGCCCAGGGAGGAUCUCCAUGCCCGUCUCUCGUUCUCCCCACGUUUCACAUGAGAAAACAGGGGCUCCCAGAGAGGCCCACACUCACCUAAGACGCUCCAAUGAUGGGGGCGUCUGGAUUUGAAUCCAGGUCCUGGCAGAUGCUGUAAGCUCAGAGGAGAAGGCAGAGAGGGAGAACAGAGCCCAGCCCUGCCCUCCCAGAUCCAGAGGGGAGGCUGACUUGUCCCCAGGUAAUAACGGCCCAGCAGUGGUCAGAGCCUGGGACAGAGGAGCCCAGGAGGCUGCAGGAGCUCAGAGCAGGUACCUGACCCAGGCUGAGGUCAAGGAGGCUUCCUGGAGGAGAGGACAGCUCACCUGAUAUCUAGAAGAUGAGUGGGGGUGACUAGGUACAAAUGCUGCAGAGACAGGGAAAAGCCCAGGGUUGAGAGGGAACCGAGGGGCUUCCAGAAAGGCACAGCAGCUCACUUCUGUAAUCCCAGCGCUUUGGGAGGCCGAGGCGGGCAGAUCACCCAAGGGCGGGAGUUCGAGACCAGCUUGGGCAACAUGGAGAAACCCCAUCUCUACUAAAAUACAAAAAUUAGCCAGGUAUGGUGGCAUGCAUCCAUAAUCCCAGCUACUCGGGAGGCUGAGGCACGAGAAUUGCCUGAAUUCGAAAGGUGGAGGUUACAGUGAGUUGAGAUUGCGCCACUGCACUCCAGCCUGGGUGACAAAGUAAGGCUCCAUCUCUCUCUCAAAAAAAAAAAGAGGGCUAGGCGCAGUGGCUUAUGCCUGCAAUCCCAGCACUUUGGGAGGCCGAGGCAGGCAGAUCACGAGGUCAAGAGGUCAAGACCAUCCUGGCCAACAUGACGAAACCCAUCUCUACAAAAAAUACAAAAAUUAGCUGGGUGUGGUGGCAUGCACCUGUAGUCCCAGCUACUCGGGAGGCUGAGGCAGAAGAAUCUCUUGAACCUGGGAGGCAGUGGUUGCAGUGAGCCACGCCACUGCACUCUAGCCUGGGUGACAGAGCAAGACGCUGUCUCAAAAAAAAAAAAAAAGAGGGAACCUAGGGACUUCUAAAUCUGACCGUGUCCUAGCCCUGAUUAAGCUCUGCUACAGCUGCCCUAGCAAACUCUUCAGCUUGGCAUUCAUUCAUUCAUUCACUCAUUCAUUCAAUCAACAUUCCCUGGAGUGCAUUGUCAGUGUCAGGCCCCACGGGAACACAGCAGUGACCACGACAGCCCCCCCGGACCGUGAUGCUGACCAGGGGUCUCAUGAAGGAGGAGACAUCUAAGACCUGAAAGAGGAGUAGGAGCGAUGCUGGGGAAGAGGCAGGGAAUGGUGUUCCUGGCAGAGGGAACAGGCUGUGCAAGGGCCUGAAGGUAACUUCUGCAUAUGACACCUUUGAGAAACUACUCAUUGGUGAGCUGAAGCAUAGGGUCGUUCAGAAGAGGCCAGCCUUGUGGCCGGCCGUGGACUUCCUCUCAGGGCACUGGGGAGCCGCCGGAGGGUCAGGAGCAAGGGAGAGGCAGGGGGAGGCUUGUACUUCCGAAAGACUCCUCCGCUGCCACAUGCAGGGUGAAUGGAGAACUGGUGAACUGGAUGCGCAGAAUCCAGUGUCAGGGGUCGCUUGGGACUUGGACCCGGCUCCCCGGGAGAGAGUCCGAGGAGCCCUCCUCUGGUCUUCCAGGGCUGUGCUCUCCCCAAGCUCCGGAUGGAAGGCGUGGCCCAUGGCAACCGCUAGGUGGUGCCCGUACACCACCCGCCGGGUCUUUGUUUGCCAAAAGUAGAUGAGGCCCAGAGCUGGGCAGAACUGCCCCGGGUCAGGAGAGCAAAUCCCUCUCGGUCUUUCGAUCCUGGCUCCCUGGCCAGGCAUCCUGGGGCCAUUUGACUCCCGGGCUCAGGAGGGAGCUGGCUGAGCUGCAAGGAGCAUGUUCUUUGUCUCUUUUCUCACCCUGGAAUCUCACAGUGGGGCACCUUGGCUCCCUCUUCAGACAGGGGGAUUCUUACCUCCCUCAUCAGACUAGCAGGCUGUCUCCCCACCAGUUUGAGGGGCUCCCCAUUUCUAUCACUCAUUUAGAAGCUCAUCAGCUCUCCCAGAAGGUAUAGGAGCCCUUCAACACCCCCAUCAGACCGGGACUACCCAUCUCCCCCAUCAGGUUAGAAAUGUAUUGUCCCACCCAUCAAAGUAUUACUCUUGGCCAGGUGCGGUGGCUCACGCCUGUAAUCACAGCACUUCGGGAGGCCGAGGCAGACAGAUCGCCUAAGGUCAGGAGUUCAAGACCAGCCUGGCCAAUAUGGUGAAAUCCCUUCUCUACUAAAAAUACCAAAAUUAGCCGGGCAUGGCAGUGAGCACCUGUAAUCCCAGCUACUUAGGAGGCUGAAGCAGGAGAAUGGCUUGAACCCGGGAGGUGCAAGUUGCAGUGAGCCGAGAUUGCACCGCUGCACUCCAGCCUGGGCAACGGAGCAAGACUCUGACUCAAAAAUUAAUAAAUAAAUACAUUGUCACACAUCAGAAUGUUGCUCCUUACUUCCCCCAACACACCGGAAAUACAGACUGGACACUCGUUCUUGCUGCUUGGGGCUGGGGCUUCUUAUCUUCUUCAUCGGAUUUGGGCAAUCCUGUCUCCCUCUUCGGAUUUGGUGACAGCUCCUUAGUUUUUUUAUUUUUCCCUCUGUGCUGGGCAACCUUGUCCCCCACUAUCAGAUUGGGAAACUCCUUGUCUCCCAGUCAGACCAGAGGGGCAGACUUCUCCACCCUUUCAAAGGUUUCGGGGUCCUUCUUACCUCCAUGGGAAAAACCAUGCCUGUUUUCCCAAGAGGGAAACUGAGGCACGGAAAAGCAAAGUUCCACGUCUCUGUCGUGCUGUAGAUGCCCGUCUCCCCCUCCUCCCGCUCCUCUGCCCUGCCUUCCCCUGCCCCCACCCCUGCCCUGGGUAACUCCUCUGGCACCGGGAGUAGGGGAAUUUUGCCCUGCUGGCCUCUGCACCAACCGCCUCCCCUUAUUGGCAGCAUCGCCACCGGUGGUGGCCGAGGGUUAAAGUCCGGAGGGAGCUCGGGACUCAAAGCGGAUAGGGAGGGAGGAGUGACGGCCAACCCACAAUGGGGACUCCCCGGAGGUCAAGCCCUCAUGCUGCUGAAAGGCGAAGGGAUGGGCAGGACCAUGUCCCCCAGUAAGGC
This 4250-nucleotide long non-coding RNA is filed under the name Aotus nancymaae (Ma's night monkey). RNAcentral describes it as "lncRNA (ENSANAG00000038639.1)". Lineage: Eukaryota; Metazoa; Chordata; Mammalia; Primates; Aotidae. The record is from RNAcentral.